Lactuca sativa (garden lettuce) is the source of this 630-nucleotide long non-coding RNA. RefSeq lists it as uncharacterized. NCBI's taxonomy places the organism in Eukaryota, Viridiplantae, Streptophyta, Magnoliopsida, Asterales, Asteraceae. The record is from RefSeq and is a predicted model, not a curated record.
AGAAGACACGUCCCUUUGUAUAAUUGUAGAAUGUGGCGAAAUCAGCCCCUUCGUUUAUAACUUCAAAUUAAAACUAACCCCUUUGUCAUAAAUCCUUUCAAGGCAAAUCCUAUUGGACUUAGUCUUUACAAAAUGGUCCUUAUGCUGUUUUAAAAGAUCAAAAAUAGUCCCUUUUGGUUUAUUUCAUUACAAAAAGAAAUUCUUUGAGUUUGAUAUUUUACAAAACAAACCCAUAAAUGUUUUAAAGCCCAAGAAUGGUUACUUUGUGGUUAUUCCCGACAAGAUUCACGAAGCAAGCCUAUAUCAAGAUCACGCAUCGAAUGUUAUUUAUAAGGUCAGAAGAGUUUGUACAGAAGAUUCUCCGAUAUUCUUAUCAUACAAAUGUGAACGCCGGAUUAUUAGGCGUGUGUAGCGUUUCAACAAUAACUACUGUCAAUGUAAUUUCCAUUUCGGUAAUAAUAAAAGAUUAAAUUUGUGAUGUUCAAUGUAUGUUCAAUAACUGUGAUUACUGGUUACGUCGCGCACCUCGGCGUUUCCGCCGUCGACCUAGGGUGUGACAGAAUGUAAUAUAGAUAAUAUUUCAUUAAAUAUUGUAUAUAUGUUUGUAUGUUUGUGUUGCUUCAAAGCAAU